Molecule: ribosomal RNA, 1880 nt
Filed under: Vibrio ordalii FF-167
Lineage: Bacteria; Pseudomonadati; Pseudomonadota; Gammaproteobacteria; Vibrionales; Vibrionaceae
Description: bacterial LSU rRNA
Rfam family: Bacterial large subunit ribosomal RNA
Source: RNAcentral
AGACAGCCAGGAUGUUGGCUUAGAAGCAGCCAUCAUUUAAAGAAAGCGUAAUAGCUCACUGGUCGAGUCGGCCUGCGCGGAAGAUGUAACGGGGCUAAGUAGUAAACCGAAGCUGCGGCAAUACAGUUUACUGUAUUGGGUAGGGGAGCGUUCUGUAAGCCGUUGAAGGUGUGUUGUAAAGCAUGCUGGAGGUAUCAGAAGUGCGAAUGCUGACAUGAGUAACGAUAAGGGGGGUGAAAAACCUCCCCGCCGGAAGACCAAGGGUUCCUGUCCAACGUUAAUCGGGGCAGGGUAAGUCGACCCCUAAGGCGAGGCUGAAAAGCGUAGUCGAUGGGAAACGGGUUAAUAUUCCCGUACUGCUUAUAAUUGCGAUGGGGGGACGGAGAAGGCUAGGUGGGCCAGGCGACGGUUGUCCUGGUUCAAGUGCGUAGGCUAAGAGACUAGGUAAAUCCGGUUUCUUGUUAGGCUGAGACACGACGUCGAGCUGCUACGGCAGUGAAGUCAUUGAUGCCCUGCUUCCAGGAAAAGCCUCUAAGCUUCAGAUUAUAAGCAAUCGUACCCCAAACCGACACAGGUGGUCGGGUAGAGAAUACCAAGGCGCUUGAGAGAACUCGGGUGAAGGAACUAGGCAAAAUGGUACCGUAACUUCGGGAGAAGGUACGCUCUUAUUGGUGAAGUCCCUUGCGGAUGGAGCUGACGAGAGUCGCAGAUACCAGGUGGCUGCAACUGUUUAUUAAAAACACAGCACUGUGCAAAAUCGCAAGAUGACGUAUACGGUGUGACGCCUGCCCGGUGCCGGAAGGUUAAUUGAUGGGGUUAGACUUAGGUCGAAGCUCUUGAUCGAAGCCCCGGUAAACGGCGGCCGUAACUAUAACGGUCCUAAGGUAGCGAAAUUCCUUGUCGGGUAAGUUCCGACCUGCACGAAUGGCGUAAUGAUGGCCACGCUGUCUCCACCCGAGACUCAGUGAAAUUGAAAUCGCUGUGAAGAUGCAGUGUACCCGCGGCUAGACGGAAAGACCCCGUGAACCUUUACUACAGCUUGGCACUGAACAUUGAACCUACAUGUGUAGGAUAGGUGGGAGACUUAGAAGCGCAGUCGCUAGAUUGCGUGGAGUCGACCUUGAAAUACCACCCUUGUCGUUUUGAUGUUCUAACGUAGGCCCCUCAUCGGGGUUGCGGACAGUGCCUGGUGGGUAGUUUGACUGGGGCGGUCUCCUCCCAAAGAGUAACGGAGGAGCACGAAGGUGGGCUAAUCACGGUUGGACAUCGUGAGGUUAGUGCAAUGGCAUAAGCCCGCUUAACUGCGAGAAUGACGGUUCGAGCAGGUACGAAAGUAGGUCAUAGUGAUCCGGUGGUUCUGAAUGGAAGGGCCAUCGCUCAACGGAUAAAAGGUACUCCGGGGAUAACAGGCUGAUACCGCCCAAGAGUUCAUAUCGACGGCGGUGUUUGGCACCUCGAUGUCGGCUCAUCACAUCCUGGGGCUGAAGUCGGUCCCAAGGGUAUGGCUGUUCGCCAUUUAAAGUGGUACGCGAGCUGGGUUUAGAACGUCGUGAGACAGUUCGGUCCCUAUCUGCCGUGGGCGUUGGAAGAUUGAAGGGGGCUGCUCCUAGUACGAGAGGACCGGAGUGGACGAACCGCUGGUGUUCGGGUUGUCAUGCCAAUGGCAUUGCCCGGUAGCUAAGUUCGGAAUUGAUAAGCGCUGAAAGCAUCUAAGCGCGAAGCGAGCCCUGAGAUGAGUCUUCCCUGGCACUUUAAGUGUCCUAAAGGGUUGUUCGAGACUAGAACGUUGAUAGGUUGGGUGUGUAAGCGCUGCGAGGCGUUGAGCUAACCAAUACUAAUUGCCCGUGAGGCUUAACCAUACAACACCGAAGGGGUUUUGU